CCCAAGAAAAUGGCUGACUCGGAAGAGCGUGAUGAUGACAGCCAAGGUGGUGACAGCGAUGAUGAAAUAGCAGAGUUACGUAUUCAGGCACUACUGAGCAAGAGGGUUAAUGAAGCAGAGGUUUCUCCUGCACGAGAACCACCCCAGGAGAAGCAACGGAAUGUGAACAAACCCCUCCCUUCUGAGAGGCCUCGGCCAUUUAGACCUGCACAGGACUUUGAGAAGAAUCUUCAGGCUAGCAAUAUAACAACAAUUCCAGUUUUAGGAUCCCAGAACUACAAUAGAUGUUUCAAUCCCAUGUAUCAGGCGAUGGGACCUGACAGAAACUUUUAUCAGGGUAGGAACUUCUAUCCUCAAGUUCGUAUGCGAGGUGGCCGUGGUUUUGUUAGAGGACGAGGUAGAGGGGGGCGUGGGAGAGGUUAUAAUGACCGGCCUUCAAUGCCCUUCACCUCUACCAGGCCUCCAACUCCCCAACUUGUACUCCCACAAGACAGAUAUGUGGACAAAGCACCUCCUGAACCAAAUAAAACCAAAGAAAAAAUGAGUGCAAGGUGGCGUCGUAUGCAAGGAUCAGACAGUGAGAGUGAUAGUGAAGAUAGUGAGUCUGAUAGUAGUGACAGCAGCAGUGACACCACUGGCAGCAGCAGUGGCAGUAGCUCUGGUAGCUCUAGUGGCUCAGAUUCUGAAAGUGAAAAUAGCUCAGUAGAAAAGAGGAAAGUUGCCAAAGACCCCAAAAGGGAUGCCCCACUUACUGAUAAGAAACCAGUUCCACCAGUUAUCAGUGGUUCUCGGCAGAGACAGCAUUCUGGUAAAGGUUUAAUGCCAAAAUCCCCACCUGUGCAAAGUGCUGCCCCUCAUAAUCCUCCACCUACUCAUAAAGUUCCUCCUCCAACAAGGAGAGGAUCAGUCAGCCCGCCUCCAAAGAAGUAUGUCAACACUCAAGCAUCACCACGGCAACCAGUAAGGAGAGAAUCGACAAGUCCUCCUAGUAACAGAUCAUGGGUGUCUCCUGUCUCAAAGGGACGCAGCCCAAUUCGCCGACAAGGGUCCAGGAGCCCUCCACCCCGAACAGGCUUGAGGAGCCCGGGCCCUCAAGGUGGUUCAAGGGGUCUUUCUGCUCGCUCAAGAUCAAGAACUCCACCUCCCAGAAGAAGAUCCAGAAGCCCACGUCCUUGGCCAAAAUCAAGAAGUCCUCAGCGAACUUCUCAAAGUCCAAUGUUACGUUCUAGGAGUCCUUUUCCAAGAAGAAGUUCAAGGAGUCCAAUCCCCAGAAGAAGUUCUAGAAGUCCCUACCCAAGAAGGAGCUCCAGGAGUCCACUUGGUAGAAGAAGUAGUAGGAGUCCAUUGCCAAGAAGAAAUUCUAGGAGUCCACUAUUUAGACGUAGCUCAAGGAGUCCCCUUCCCAGAAGAAGUUCUAGAAGUCCUCCUCUGAGGAGAAACUCUAGAAGCCCAUUCCCGAGAAGAAGUUCUAGGAGUCCAGUCCCAAGAAGAAGUUCUAGAAGUCCAAGCUCAAGAUUGCCUUUGAGAGGCUCUUCCCCUCACAUAAUAUCAAGAAGUCCAAUUAGAGGAAGGUUAAAAAGUCCUCUUGCAGGAAGAGGCAAAAGUCCACAACAGAGACUGAGAAGUAAGAGUCCAGGUUUAAGAGGAAGGUCAAGAAGUCCAUUAACUCGAAGAAGCCCAUUGCUGAGACGAAGUUCAAGGAGUCCACUUCCUCAUAGAGGUUCAAGAAGUCCGGCACCUCGCAGAGUUACAAGGAGUCCGCUCCCUCAUAGGGGAACAAGAAGUCCUGCACUUCGUCGUGCCACACGGAGUCCACUAUCUCGCAGAGGCUCAAGAGGCUCACCACCACCACACAGGACUUCUAGAAGUCCACCUCCUAGGAGAAUAUCAAGAAGUCCUCUGUCUCGAAAACAUUCAAGAACUCCACCACUUCGGAAUAUAUCAAGAAGUCCUUUACCACGCAAACUUUCUAGAAGCCCUCCACCUCGGAAACAUUCCAGGAGUCCCCCGCCUCGGAAACUUACCAGGAGUCCCCCCCCUCGGAAACUUACUAGGAGUCCCCCCCCUCGGAAACUUAGCAGGAGUCCCCCACCUCGGAAACUUACCAGGAGUCCCCCACCUCGGAAACUUACUGGUACUCGGAGUCCUCCACCACGGAGAGUUUCAAGAAGCCCCCUCCCACGGAAACUUUCCAGAAGCCCUCCACCCCGACAUAUUUCAAAGAGUCCGCUUCGACAAAGACUCUCAAGAAGUCCACCCCCUCGCCGACUUUCACACAGUCCACUUCAUCGAAGACUUUCAAGAAGUCCUCCUCCAAGACACUUUUCUAGAAGUCCUCAACCAAGACGGCUAUCAAGAAGCCCUCUACCACGUCCAUUUUCAAGAAGCUCAGCCUCUCGUCGACCUAUAAGAAAUUCCCCUUUGAGACGGUUUUCAAGAAGUCCUCCACCACGAAGGUCUUCAAGAAGUCCACCACCACGCCGGAUUUCAAGGAGUCCCUCUGGACGCAUGCUCUCAAGGAGUCCAGGUCCUCGACGUAUUUCAAAAAGUCCUCUUCCUCCUGGAAGAUCAAGAAAAUUAUCACCUCAUCGUGUUGCUAGGAGCCCAUCGCCCAGAAGGAUUCGUAGGAUUUCUCCCUCCUCGCAUAGAUCUCAUAGUCCUGGUCAUAGACUACAGAGGUUUUCUAGAAGCCCUGCAAAUGAAAGGAAGUUAAGCUCACACAGUCCACCAUUUAACAGUUCACAUAGUCCAAGAUCUAGAAGAGGUCCAGCCUUAUCUAUUAGGUCCCAUAGUCCUCUGGCCGAUAGGUCUCCAAGUCCUGGACUGAGAAGAGAUUGGGGUCAUAGAGCAAAAAGAUCACAAAGUCCUGGUUCAUUUGGAAGAACUGGUAGUCCAUAUGGCAGGCAUUCCAGAAGCUUAUCUCCUCAUAAUAGGGUGGGAGGCAUGGUCCCAGGAAUGAUAGACAGGUCCCCAGUAGACAAUGGGUCUCCUAGAAGCUCAUUCCAUAGACAAGGAUUUGGGAGACCUGCUGAUGGCGUGGUUCAUGGUGAAAGAUUUUCUCCUCAAGGGAAUUCGGUAUUAGUAGGAGGAAGGCCUCAUGACUUCCCACCUGGGUAUGAUCACUAUCCUAUAAACAGACCACCCCAUAUGCCAAUGAAUGGUCACCAGGGUCAUCAACACUUCAUUGGAUUUAAUGAACCUGGCCCAAGAGCUCCUGAUGAACCUGCCUGGCCACAUGUAGGAAGGCGGGAAGGAAGGGAUCAGUUUUCACCUCAUCGAUUAUUGCCUGAGGGCCCAUGGCAAGGUCAUUACCAGCAAAGGGAUCGUCCAGGUCCUCCUGUUUUCCCACACCCGGACCAUGUUUUUCCACCAAACAGAGGGCAGCCUUUUAAUGUCCCUAUUCACAACCGCCAAGGUCCAGGGAUGUUGAUGCCUCAUGGCCGAGGACAGGGUUUCCAUGGACCUAGACAUGGAUCACCACAGGCACGCCGAGGGAGAUCACUUCCAAGACACGAGCCUCCUGGACGAUUUGAUCAUGAUUUACCACCUCCAGGACCUAAUGAAAGAAGGAGGCAAUUAUCACCGAACAGGCAAUUGGCUCGUAUUAGAGAGAGAUCACGCUCAAAUUCUCCUUUCUCAAGUAGACCACAAACAUUUCCACAGGGUGGAAGAGGAGGACCCAUGUCACCUCGAGGUCGAAUUCCCACUGUGCCAUCAAACAGGCGAGGUCCAAGAACUCCUCCUAUGCCUGCUGGCAGAAAAGUUUCACCACGACCAGGCCCCAGGGAUGCACAGAAGCCAUUGCGAGGGCCACAUGCUUCUUACCAGGAGAAUAAGGCACCAUUGCAAAGCCGAAGGCAAGGUUCUCCACACAUACCAACACAUGAAAGACCACCUUCACUUCGUGGUGGCCAUAAUCAAGCUUCUCAAAGACGCCCUCUACAUGGAAACAGUCCCCCUCCAGCAGGGCUCAGGGUUCAAGAUGGUGGUCCCCACAAACAACGGUUACAGCUACCAAAAACUCAUUCUCCUUUCCAGGGUGAUAGAAGACGAAAUGAAAAACAACCUGAGGAUGUUAGAGACAGAAAUAGGGAAGAUUCAAGUGGACAAGCUCAGCAUGAGAAAAAGGAUAAAAAAGUAGAAUCUCCUCGGAGAAUGGAGAAUAGACAGAAAUCUCCAUUCCGUAAUAGGUCUCCGAGUCGACAGCACAAUGCAAGAGUAGGUUUUGCUUCAGUUAGAGGACGAGGCAAUAGAGGGAGUAUACUUCAGAGUCCCUCUAGCCGAAAUCGAAGGCAAGUAGGAUCUAGACCUGAAACUUCAUCUAAUCAGCAACGGUUAAGAAGUCCAGGAAGUCGUGAGAAACAUGCUAAUGCUGCCAACUGGGACAAGAGGAACCCCAAAAGUGACUCUCAAGGGGAAAAACUGGAUUCAAAAUCUUUUAAUGAGCAGUUACCAGAAAGACAAGGUCGUACUGGAAGCCCAUGGUUGGAGCCAGUCACACCAGAAAAGCAAGGGCAAGGUGUAUGUGAUCGUUCUUUGUCUCCAGCAGGCAGUGUAAAUGAAAAUCAAGCUAAAAAGGUGAAGCGAGAAACAAAAACAACAGAGCAUGUUGCUGUAAGUAGAGGAAAAGAACAAGUAGAAAAGAAGGUUAAGGAAAAAGUAACUCCAGAAGCGGUGACACAACAAUCAGCUAAAGUGGAAAACAAAUCAGUUCAAGUACAAGACAAACUGGAAGCACGCAGAAAGAAGUUUGAAUCUAAUAAUCCAAUCUCCGCUCAAGAGUCUCGUAAAGUUUUGCUGAAAGCACCGGAACCAACAAAAGAAGUAGAGGAGGACAAGAAGAAGAAAGAUGAGAAGAUAAAGGAAGAUGAUGACAAGAAAAAGAAGAAAAAAAAGAAAAAAGCAAAAGAUGAUGACGAUGAUGACGAUGCAUCAGAAAAGAGCAAGUCUAGCAAGAAAAAGAAAAAGAAGAAGAAGAAGGAAGCCAAAAAGAAAAAGAAGAAGCACAAAAAGGCAGAUAGUGACAGUGAAGAGGAAGAAAAACAGCCAGCUGUAAGCAAAGUUACUAGAGAAAGCAAAAAGGACAACAUAGACUCAACAGAUUUGAGACAUAUGUUAAAGAGGAAAGUGGAUCCACCAAGAGGAGGGGGAGGAGAAAGGAGUGGAAGCAAAGUGGACAUCGACGAAAGAGAAGAGAAGCGUAGGAGGAAGGAUAAAGAAGAACCAUCGAAGACUGUAAUUGGUGGCAAGAGCAGACAAGCAGAGAGCAGAAGAAAGAAACAGCAUGAAGGGAAGCCUCUCCUGGUGACUGUUGGCUCUGGUGAAGAUCGGCAAGUCACUUCAGGCAAUGUUCCGGAAAACCAGAGUGAUGAAGGAAAGGCUUCCCAACGCUUGUCUGUUCACCUUCGCCUUGGGCCCGCCAAAAAUUCCUGGGAUGACAAGUCUGGUAACUCUCAUGGCAGUAGUGGGGGUGGUGGUGGUGGCAGUAGACACAAGAGACGUGAAAAAUCCAAGGGUCGACAUGGUGGAGGAGCUGGCAACAGGGUGAAGCUGAGGCGAUGAUCAUUUCAGUCUGCCUGGGAUGCAGGUAACGCACACAUCUCGUUGCUCCUGCUGCUGCACUGGCUCAACCUGAGUUUCUAGGUUGGCGCGUUUCUAAGAGGCUGCUCCACAUGACCUGGGUGGCUCUCACCCCCUUCUUCUGUACCUGGAACAUGUCCUUGCCUCAGUUCUAGAGUGUGCCAGAACCAGAGCAGAACCACAAGUGUUGUGUACAGUAUGUGUGAAUUAUACCCACUCAUAUCCAAACCAGAGCCACAAGUGUGUGUGAAUGUGUGUGUUUGUGCGUGUAUGAGAGCAAGCUCACUUGUGCAAGAUGUUUUUUUCGUUUCGUGUAUAUAGAUAUAAUAAUUUACAUGAUUUUCUGUUCAAAAAUAUUUGUAAUAUCUUAAAGGGAGUCAAGUGUAUAUUUGAGUUGAUAGGUGGAAUACAGAUAUAAUGAUACAGAAUGUGGUAUCCUAAAAUACCCAUAAUCUGAUAGAAAGGACAUGUUUAAUAGACUAGCAAUAUAUUUACAAGCAGUGUAAACAAAUUGUCUCUGAAGUUAGCACAUGAUAACUGACAAAAUCUAUGUCAUCAAUGCUUUGUGCUAUUCUUUAUGUAGAAAACUUAAUUAAUGCUAAUUAAAUUGUUCAUGUAGCUCAUGUGAAAUGAGUAUUAUUUUUAAAGAAACAGAGUAUCAUCAUUUGAAGGUGCAUUGUGGUAGUGAAUAGGAAAGGAUGUAAAUAGUGUAACUUUUGAAGAUGCUUUAGUUUUCGUUUUUUUAUAAUCAAUACUUCUGACUCACACAACUCAAAUAUAUUUAUGGAAUUACGGUAGCUUACAAUGAUGACCUUUUAUUUGUUGUAAGAUGUAUACAGUGUUUAACUAAUUAAAAAAAGUCUCCUAUCAAAGAGCAGCUGUGGCUUAUCAGUCCUGCUUUCUCUUUUUUCUAUAUAUAACAUCAACUAUUUACAUUUUUUCUUUUUCAUUGUCGGCAUUUGUAUGAAAGUCUGUGUAGUGUAGUGUGUGAAACAUCUUGUAUCAGUGCCAUGGAAGGAGUUAAGUACUGUAUUUAAAUGUUUUUCCUCGUGUUGAGAAUCAAGGCAUUAUUUCAUCCAUUCAUUCCAUCUUCACACCUAUUGUCAUGAUAAGCAGAGUUUGCAGCCAUCAAGCCACAUAUACCAUAUUAUUGUUGUUUUUUUGCCAUUUGACCUCAUUGUAUUAAUAUUCUAAAGAAAAUCAUUUCUCUUGAUUAUUAUUGUAGUCAAAACUUUUAUAUCCCAGUCACUCAGUACAGUAUUUUUAUGUUUAUUAUGAUAAAGGUGUUUCCAUAGAUAAAUAUUUGUAAUAUCAAGUAAAUUACUCAUCUUCAUUUAUUUUUGUGAAAUUAUUUCAAUACUGUAGUUAUUUCAUUUGAGAAACAUGGAGGAGGUGGUGGGUCAUAGAAUUAAUACUGUUAUAUAUCAGUUCAGUAUUUAGUGAUUGAUGAUGUAGAGCUUUAUGUCAGCUAUUUCACUCAGAAGAAUUGAGUUUUAAACAUAUACACUAGCCUGGUUAUCUAAUUAGUGGUACAGUUCUGCUAAUGCUUCUUAGGAUAAAUAAACACAUUUGGUCAUUACUCUGAUGAAUAUAGUUGAUAAUGAACUUCAUUUUUAACAUUUUUGUUAUUAUUUAUAUAUACUGUAUUAAGCAUUUCAAAAUAAAAAUUUUGCAUUAGCUGUUGAUCUGCAAGGCUAUGAAUUAUUUUUAUAUUGUUAUUACUGUCAUAAUAAUUUUUCAUCUUUGUAUUUCUUUCUUGGUAAUUUUUAUUUUAAUUUACUGCAUCUAUUACAAGAGCCUCCAACAUAUUGCUUUUUUCUUUUCUUUUUUUUUUUACCCAAAAAAGAACAAUCACAUAUGCCUUAUGCCGUGGAAUAUCACCUCCUCUAGUACCUCUUAAAUUUUUACAUGGUUUAGUUUUCAGAUCAACUGUAACGCUUCUUGCCAUUAGUUCACUUGUUAUUUAAAUUGAUAUUUUAGUUUAAUCCAUCUAUCACCUUCAGGUUCCAUAUUUUGAAAGCAUUGUACUUCCAUGAAUAAAUUGGUUAUUUUGA
This 7634-nucleotide unclassified non-coding RNA is filed under the name Homarus americanus (American lobster). RNAcentral's name for it is "serine/arginine repetitive matrix protein 2-like, transcript variant X3". Lineage: Eukaryota; Metazoa; Arthropoda; Malacostraca; Decapoda; Nephropidae. The record is from RNAcentral.